GAUGAACGCUGGCGGCGUGCCUAAUACAUGCAAGUCGAGCGGACGGACGAGAAGCUUGCUGCGCUGAUGAUAGCGGCGGAGGGGAGAGUAACGCGUGGAAAACCUACCUAUAAGAGUGGGAUAACUACGGGAAACGGGAGCUAAUACCGGAGAAUAUUCUGAAGCGCAGGGGGGAAAGGUGAAAUACGGCGGUGCGGGCAGGUAUAGAUGGAUCCGCGCUGCAUUAGCGAGUUGGUAAGGUAACGGCUUACCAAGGCAACGAGGCAUAGCCGACCUGAGAGGGUGAUCGGCCACACUGGAACUGGGACACGGUCCAUACUCCUACGGGAGGCCCCAGUAUGCAAUCGUCGGCAGUGGGCGAAAGCCUGACGGAGCAACGCCGCGUCGGUGAUGGAGGUCUUCCGAUCGUAAUGCUCUGUUAUUAGGUAAGAACAUCUGUGUACGUAACUGUGCCCAGCUUGACGGUACCUAAUCAGAAAGCCCCGGCUAACUACGUG
RNAcentral lists this ribosomal RNA (497 nucleotides) under uncultured bacterium. Its description in RNAcentral is "partial 16S ribosomal RNA". It matches the Rfam family "Bacterial small subunit ribosomal RNA", at positions 28 to 507 of the family's 1533-position model. The record is from RNAcentral.